Molecule: ribosomal RNA, 446 nt
Filed under: uncultured bacterium
Lineage: Bacteria
Description: partial 16S ribosomal RNA
Rfam family: Bacterial small subunit ribosomal RNA
Source: RNAcentral
CCUACGGGGGGCAGCAGUCGAGAAUCAUUCACAAUGGGGGAAACCCUGAUGGUGCGACGCCGCGUGGGGGAAUGAAGGUCUUCGGAUUGUAAACCCCUGUCAUGUGGGCGCAAAUUAAAAAGAUAGUACCACAAGAGGAAGAGACGGCUAACUCUGUGCCAGCAGCCUCGGUAAUACAGAGGUCUCAAGCGUUGUUCGGAAUCACUGGGCGUAAGGCGUGCGUAGGCUGUUUCGUACGUCGGGUGUGAAAGGCGCGGGCUCAACCCGCGGACGGCACAUGAUACUGCGAGACUAGAGUAAUGGAGGGGGAACCGGAAUUCUAGGUGUAGCAGUGAAAUGCGUAGAUAUCGAGAGGAACACUCGUGGCGAAGGCGGGUUCCUGGACAUUAACUGACGCUGAGGCACGAAGGCCAGGGGAGCGAAAGGGAUUAGAUACCCUUGUAGUC